GACAACAAUAGGACUAUCGGUGGAAUGGUUAAAGCUUCAUGUCUCCUUCCCCCAUGUCUUAGGUUCAAUCCCUUACUUCCACUUUUCCUCACCAUUUUUCCAAUUUUUCCAAAUUUUUCCAUUUUUUCACCCUUAUUUUUCAUGUUCUUUCCCAUUUUUCACCAUAAAAUUUUUGUCUUCUUUCUGAUUUUCUUUUGCCUACUUCUUAUUUGUGACAUUGUAUUUGCAAUUUAAUUUUUGUUUUGUUUUUUCCAUUUAUUUUCCCUCGAUUACGGACGUUGCAAAAGUGCUCCGUGAACGUUUGAAAAAUGCGAUACUUCUUAGAUUUUUGUUUGAUUUCUU
Molecule: long non-coding RNA, 342 nt
Filed under: Lathyrus oleraceus (garden pea)
Lineage: Eukaryota; Viridiplantae; Streptophyta; Magnoliopsida; Fabales; Fabaceae
Description: Pisum sativum (pea) long non-coding RNA (PSAT_LNC036069)
Source: RNAcentral